This 315-nucleotide long non-coding RNA is filed under the name Ricinus communis (castor bean). RNAcentral describes it as "long non-coding RNA (RCOM_LNC002953)". The record is from RNAcentral. Lineage: Eukaryota; Viridiplantae; Streptophyta; Magnoliopsida; Malpighiales; Euphorbiaceae.
UUCAGUCCUGAUUCAACAUUCACAUUCAUGCUGUUCCAAACAAAACAACAAAGGAAAUAUGCUAAUAAUUCUGAUUUGAUGGAAAAGAAAGAAUGCAGUGGUAUGGAUGGAGCUUUUAUAUUUUUCUUUCAAGUAAUUAUCAAGUUUGAAAAUUACUUCAUGAUGUUUUUCCUUUUAAUUGCAUCUGGGCCUAACAUAAACACAAAAGAGCAUUUUCACGGGGAAGGAAGCAGAAUUGAAAGUUCUCUUUUUCUUUUUUCUUUUAAUUUCGCAAGUAAAAACUAUAUCUUUGAUAUUUCGGUAAUAGAACAUCAG